RNAcentral lists this long non-coding RNA (942 nucleotides) under Nicotiana benthamiana. RNAcentral's name for it is "long non-coding RNA (NBEN_LNC013921)". The record is from RNAcentral. Lineage: Eukaryota; Viridiplantae; Streptophyta; Magnoliopsida; Solanales; Solanaceae.
UUUUUAAAAGGCAAAUCAUAUUUUCAUAUUUUUCUUUUAGCCCAUUAUUGUAGGAAAUUAUAGCCCAAUUUUAAAGCCCAAGUCUUGAUAGCCCAUACCCCAUUUUCCCUUAAUGAAAUAACAACCCCAAUUUAGUCUUCUUCUAAAAAAAAGACAAGACAUUAAAUAAAACCCUAGACCUUUAACCUUAGGACAACCAUGGCUUCUCCUUAACUAAAACGACUCUGCUCCCCUCAAGCACAUAAACAGCCAUUUCCCUUUCUUCUUCAACAAAAAAGACCUCCAAGGCUUGAAACCUAAGCAGCGAAAGUACGACAGCAAAACACACUUGACGCCAACGAGCCCCCCUCCCUUAACCCAUUGCUGCUUCUCCUUCUUCCGUUCAUAACAGCCCGUCGGAAAAUGACAUAAACGACGACCCCCACAUACACGAACAGUACGCAGAAACAGAUUGGAGGUGCAUAUUCGAGGACCAUUUUUUUAGUUUGCCGCGGUUCCGACGAGCUUCAAGGUUUGGAUCGUAGUUCCGUUCUAGGUUUCCAUUAGCGGUUUCGCGGUCUCCGGUCGAAGGUUUCCGGUUUGGUCGAGGUUUAUUUAAGGUUCUGGAUUAUUGCUUUUCUUGGACGAAUUUUGGAGUCAAGAUAUGUGUAAUUGUUGGUUUUUGUUGCUAUUGAUCGUACAAAGGGCAUUGAAUUUGACUGCUAAUUCAUUGGAUAUAACUUCUGCUUGUUUUUUUUUUUUUUUUGGAUUGUCAGAUUUACCUAUUUUUACUUUUAGGAAUGUAAACUCGGAGUUCCAUUAAUCGGAAAUUUAUCACUUGUUGAGGUUCAGAUUAGGUUAUAUAGCUUUGUGUUUGAGCUUUCGCCGAAUGAAAUUUGUUGGUUCGAUGUCUACCAUUAAGCUCGUAUUCGAUUUUAAAUCGAAGCAUGCUUGAGUUUUUUU